RNAcentral lists this non-coding RNA (69 nucleotides) under Tessaracoccus flavescens. Lineage: Bacteria; Bacillati; Actinomycetota; Actinomycetes; Propionibacteriales; Propionibacteriaceae. The record is from RNAcentral.
GGGAAUCUGGUUCGAAUCCAGAGCUGACCCGCAACCGUGAAGGCCCCUCGGGGCCACAGCCGGAAUGCC